GACGGAGGGUGCUAGCGUUGUUCGGAAUCACUGGGCGUAAAGGGCGCGUAGGCGGCCGCCCGCGUCGGACGUGAAAGCCCGGGGCUCAACCCCGGAACGGCGUCCGAUACGGGGCGGCUCGAGGCCGGGAGAGGGGGGUCGAAUACCCAGUGUAGAGGUGAAAUUCGUAGAUAUUGGGUGGAACACCGGUGGCGAAAGCGGCCCCCUGGCCCGGUCCUGACGCUGAGGCGCGAAAGCGUGGGGAGCAAACAGG
Molecule: ribosomal RNA, 253 nt
Filed under: uncultured bacterium
Lineage: Bacteria
Description: partial 16S ribosomal RNA
Rfam family: Bacterial small subunit ribosomal RNA
Source: RNAcentral